Molecule: non-coding RNA, 255 nt
Organism: Vicia faba (fava bean)
Lineage: Eukaryota; Viridiplantae; Streptophyta; Magnoliopsida; Fabales; Fabaceae
Source: the annotation of a GenBank genome assembly
AUGGGAUAUGUUGAAGGGAAAUUGACGCCUUUUCAAUCACCGGCCAGUGAGCAAGAUGGAAGCGUCGAACUAACUGAAGAAGAGAGAAAGUCUGCAACUAUUGAUGAGAAGUUGAUUUUGGGAAUGUUCAAGCAAGAGGGCAAAUGUGACUUUGUUCCUCCGUUAGAUCUUGAUGAGUUAGGAAAUUCUGUGGCAGGUGAUGGUCAAGGAGCUAGGAAAAGGAAAAAUCCAUUUGAAGAAACGUUUUCAAAAUGA